RNAcentral lists this ribosomal RNA (450 nucleotides) under uncultured Fibrobacter sp. RNAcentral's name for it is "partial 16S ribosomal RNA". It matches the Rfam family "Bacterial small subunit ribosomal RNA", at positions 341 to 792 of the family's 1533-position model. Lineage: Bacteria; Pseudomonadati; Fibrobacterota; Fibrobacteria; Fibrobacterales; Fibrobacteraceae. The record is from RNAcentral.
ACGGAGGCAGCAGUAGGGAAUAUUGCACAAUGGGGGAAACCCUGAUGCAGCAACGCCACGUGUGGGAAGAAGCAUUUCGGUGUGUAAACCACUGUCGUGAGGAAAUAAGGCAUUGUUUCGGCGAUGUUGAAUGUACCUCGAAAGGAAGCACCGGCAAACUUCGUGCCAGCAGCCGCGGUAAUACGAGGGGUGCAAGCGUUGUUCGGAAUCACUGGGCGUAAAGGGAGCGCAGGCGGAAGUGCAAGCGGUCUGUACAAUACCGGGGCCCAACCCCGGACCUGCAGACCGGACUGCAUUUCUUGGAUAGUUCAGGGGCAAGCGGAAUUCCUGGUGUAGCGGUGGAAUGCGUAGAGAUCAGGAAGAACACCGAUGGCGAAGGCAGCUUGCUGGGGACUUAUCGACGCUCAUGCUCGAAAGUGCGGGUAGCAAACAGGAUUAGAUACCCUGGUA